GAUGAACGCUGGCGGCGUGCCUAAUACAUGCAAGUCGAGCGAAUGGAUUAAGAGCUUGCUCUUAUGAAGUUAGCGGCGGACGGGUGAGUAACACGUGGGUAACCUGCCCAUAAGACUGGGAUAACUCCGGGAAACCGGGGCUAAUACCGGAUAACAUUUUGAACCGCAUGGUUCGAAAUUGAAAGGCGGCUUCGGCUGUCACUUAUGGAUGGACCCGCGUCGCAUUAGCUAGUUGGUGAGGUAACGGCUCACCAAGGCAACGAUGCGUAGCCGACCUGAGAGGGUGAACGGCAACACUGGGACUAGGACACGGCCCAGACUCCUACGGGAGGCAGCAGUAGGGAAUCUUCCGCAAUGGACGAAAGUCUGACGGAGCAACGCCGCGUGAGUGAUGAAGGCUUUCGGGUCGUAAAACUCUGUUGUUAGGGAAGAACAAGUGCUAGUUGAAUAAGCUGACACCUUGACGGUACCUAACCAGAAAGCCACGGCUAACUACGUGCCAGCAGCCGCCGUAA
RNAcentral lists this ribosomal RNA (515 nucleotides) under uncultured bacterium. RNAcentral's name for it is "partial 16S ribosomal RNA". It matches the Rfam family "Bacterial small subunit ribosomal RNA", at positions 28 to 523 of the family's 1533-position model. The record is from RNAcentral.